UACGUAGGGGGCUAGCGUUAUCCGGAAUUACUGGGCGUAAAGGGUGCGUAGGCGGUCUUUCAAGCCAGAAGUGAAAGGCUACGGCUCAACCGUAGUAAGCUUUUGGAACUGUAAGACUUGAGUGCAGGAGAGGAGAGUGGAAUUCCUAGUGUAGCGGUGAAAUGCGUAGAUAUUAGGAGGAACACCAGUAGCGAAGGCGGCUCUCUGGACUGUAACUGACGCUGAGGCACGAAAGCGUGGGGAGCAAACAGGAUUAGAUACCCGCGUAGUCCUU
Molecule: ribosomal RNA, 274 nt
Filed under: uncultured prokaryote
Description: partial 16S ribosomal RNA
Rfam family: Bacterial small subunit ribosomal RNA
Source: RNAcentral